This is a long non-coding RNA of Lutra lutra (Eurasian river otter), 733 nucleotides long. RefSeq lists it as uncharacterized. NCBI's taxonomy places the organism in Eukaryota, Metazoa, Chordata, Mammalia, Carnivora, Mustelidae. The record is from RefSeq and is a predicted model, not a curated record. The transcript has 3 exons.
GGGGCACUGGCUGUGACAGGCUCCACGCCGCUGGUGGCGGUUCCAGACUCAGGGUGAGCGGGAAGGACACCGGGGCCAGCGGAGACCCUUCUUUGAAGCGGAAAAGAGAAAACGUGAGAUGGGUAGAGGGCACGCUGGUGCCGGGAGGGCAGGUGGAGGUGGGGGGUGGUUGGCAGAGGAAAGGUCUGGAAACCUGCACGCAGUGGUGGGAGCAGAGGUUCUGGAGCCCGGUGGUGUGACUGAGCAGCAUUACUCACUGCAGCUGGAAGACAGGCAGUCCAGCCACGCCACGGAAUAUUACUCAGCCCCGAAAAAGGAAGGCACUCCCGACACACAUUCCAACAGGGAUGAACCUGCAUGACAUUAUGCAAAGUGAAAUAAGCCAGUCAACAGAGGACAAGGACUGUUUGAUUCCACAGAUAAGAGACACCUGGAGUCAUCCGAUUCCUCGAGACAGAAAAUCAAAGGGUGGUUGCCAGGGCUGCGGGGAGGGGGAUGGGGAAUUAGGGUUGGGACAGUAUCAAUCGGGGAAGAUGAAGAAGUCCUGCAGAUGGAGGAUGGUGAUGGUUGCACAACAUGCCAAAUGGAUUUAAUGACCCUGGGCUCUGCACUCAGAAAUGAUUCACAUGGGGGCCACCGGUUUAAGUGUCUACCUUCCGCUCAGGUCAUGAUUCUGGGGUCCUGGGAUGGAGCCCCAUAUCGGGCUCCCUGUUUGCCGGGAAACCUGCUUCUC